Molecule: long non-coding RNA, 92 nt
Organism: Etheostoma cragini (Arkansas darter)
Lineage: Eukaryota; Metazoa; Chordata; Actinopteri; Perciformes; Percidae
Exons: 4
Source: RefSeq, a predicted model, not a curated record
AUAUACCAUAUUCCAACUUCUUUCUUUUGACAGGCUUGCCAGUAAAUAGCCCCAGAAUGCCUCGCAAGAUUAAUAUAAGUAUCACACGUCAU